CGGACGGGUGAGUAAUGUCUGGGAAACUGCCCGAUGGAGGGGGAUAACUACUGGAAACGGUGGCUAAUACCGCAUAACGUCGCAAGACCAAAGAGGGGGACCUUCGGGCCUCUUGCCAUCGGAUGUGCCCAGAUGGGAUUAGCUAGUAGGUGGGGUAACGGCUCACCUAGGCGACGAUCCCUAGCUGGUCUGAGAGGAUGACCAGCCACACUGGAACUGAGACACGGUCCAG
This 232-nucleotide ribosomal RNA is filed under the name uncultured bacterium. RNAcentral describes it as "partial 16S ribosomal RNA". It matches the Rfam family "Bacterial small subunit ribosomal RNA", at positions 99 to 334 of the family's 1533-position model. The record is from RNAcentral.